CCUACGGGAGGCAGCAGUCGAGAAUCAUUCACAAUGGGGGAAACCCUGAUGGUGCGACGCCGCGUGGGGGAAUGAAGGUCUUCGGAUUGUAAACCCCUGUCAUGUGGGAGCAAAUUAAAAAGAUAGUACCACAAGAGGAAGAGACGGCUAACUCUGUGCCAGCAGCCGCGGUAAUACAGAGGUCUCAAGCGUUGUUCGGAAUCACUGGGCGUAAAGCGUGCGUAGGCUGUUUCGUAAGUCGUGUGUGAAAGGCGCGGGCUCAACCCGCGGACGGCACAUGAUACUGGGAGACUAGAGUAAGGGAGGGGGAACCGGAAUUCUCGGUGUAGCAGUGAAAUGCGUAGAUAUCGAGAGGAACACUCGUGGCGAAGGCGGGUUCCUGGACAUUAACUGACGCUGAGGCACGAAGGCCAGGGGAGCGAAAGGGAUUAGAUACCCUUGUAGUC
RNAcentral lists this ribosomal RNA (446 nucleotides) under uncultured bacterium. Its description in RNAcentral is "partial 16S ribosomal RNA". It matches the Rfam family "Bacterial small subunit ribosomal RNA", at positions 338 to 795 of the family's 1533-position model. The record is from RNAcentral.